UACGUAGGGUGCAAGCGUUAAUCGGAAUUACUGGGCGUAAAGCGUGCGCAGGCGGUUAUGUAAGUCAGGGGUGAAAUCCCCGGGCUUAACCUGGGAACUGCAUUUGUGACUGCAUAGCUAGAGUACGGUAGAGGGGGGUGGAAUUCCGCGUGUAGCAGUGAAAUGCGUAGAUAUGCGGAGGAACACCGAUGGCGAAGGCAAUCCCCUGGACCUGUACUGACGCUCAUGCACGAAAGCGUGGGGAGCAAACAGG
Molecule: ribosomal RNA, 253 nt
Filed under: uncultured bacterium
Lineage: Bacteria
Description: partial 16S ribosomal RNA
Rfam family: Bacterial small subunit ribosomal RNA
Source: RNAcentral